Molecule: ribosomal RNA, 636 nt
Filed under: uncultured bacterium
Lineage: Bacteria
Description: bacterial SSU rRNA
Rfam family: Bacterial small subunit ribosomal RNA
Source: RNAcentral
GACGAACGCUGGCGGCGUGCCUAACACAUGCAAGUCGAGCGAUGAAACCCUUCGGGGUGGAUUAGCGGCGGACGGGUGAGUAACGCGUGGGUAACCUGCCUCAAAGAGGGGAAUAGCCUCCCGAAAGGGAGAUUAAUACCGCAUAAUAUGUUUUAAUCGCAUGAUUGAAACAUCAAAGGAGUAAUCCGCUUUGAGAUGGACCCGCGGCGCAUUAGCUAGUUGGUGAGGUAACGGCUCACCAAGGCGACGAUGCGUAGCCGACCUGAGAGGGUGAUCGGCCACAUUGGAACUGAGACACGGUCCAGACUCCUACGGGAGGCAGCAGUGGGAAUAUUGCGCAAUGGGGGAAACCCUGACGCAGCAACGCCGCGUGAAUGAUGAAGGCCUUCGGGUUGUAAAGUUCUGUCUUCUGGGACGAUAAUGACGGUACCAGAGGAGGAAGCCACGGCUAACUACGUGCCAGCAGCCGCGGUAAUACGUAGGUGGCAAGCGUUGUCCGGAUUUACUGGGCGUAAAGGAUGCGUAGGCGGACAUUUAAGUCAGAUGUGAAAUACCCGAGCUUAACUUGGGUGCUGCAUUUGAAACUGGGUGUCUAGAGUGCAGGAGAGGUAAGUGGAAUUCCUAGUGUAGCGGUGA